Molecule: transfer RNA, 74 nt
Filed under: Candidatus Iainarchaeum sp.
Lineage: Archaea; Nanobdellati; Candidatus Iainarchaeota; Candidatus Iainarchaeia; Candidatus Iainarchaeales; Candidatus Iainarchaeaceae
Description: tRNA-Arg
Rfam family: tRNA
About the family: Transfer RNA (tRNA) molecules are approximately 80 nucleotides in length. Their secondary structure includes four short double-helical elements and three loops (D, anti-codon, and T loops).
Source: RNAcentral
GCCCUCAUGGUCCAGCCUGGACAAGACGCGAGCUUGCGGAGCUCGAAACCGGGGUUCAAAUCCUCGUGAGGGCG